GAGCAUUCUUUGCGUAUUUUAAGCGUGGGAGGCCAGCAUUCUUUUCAAACGUUUCAGGAGGUGGUGGGGAAGUGGAUUUUUGGUAAUGAUUUGGAUGUUUGGCCAAUUCUCUAAUGUGAUGGCAUUUGUUGCUCCCAGGUUUAAAAGCAAAUGUGCUGGCAUGGUAGUGCCAGGAGAUUUAAGCCUUUGCUUGCAUUACCAGUUUGUAGGGUAACUUCUCUCAGAUUGCAAUCAUAGGGCUAACAACUUGGCAAUCAUCGUCAGGAAUCUUUAGACCCGCCCCUUUUCCCAGGGUUUUGGAGGGAAAGAGGAGAUUUUGCCCAGUCUCACUGUUGGAAGCCUAGUAGCAGGACGUGUGGGAUUCUCUUUCCCACCUGCACAAAAGCUUCACUUCUCACAGCUUUGCUGGGGGAAUAAAGAAUAGUUCCACAGCACAGUUCCUACAACCUUAGUGGAGCAAAUCAAAGGGACACCUUCCAGUUUGACUGAAUCCACAGCAACCUUGCCUGAGACCCAGGGGCAUAUACUAUCCUCAGCUCUACCUGUGUAAAACUGAAGUAACGCCGCUUGAAUUGGUGAGAAGAAUCCCUGUUUACACUGGUAAUUAGAACUGAGUGUGGCCUUUGGAGCAGCCUGGGAUGUUAAAGAAAUGGAAGGAACCAGUUAUCUCAAUGCCAGAGGAAUGACCGAUGAAGAUGUGCGAAUUAGCAGAGGAGGACAAAUUGGCUAUGGUGAUUAAGGAGAAAUUUUUGACCAUCUUCAAGAAAGAUUGGGACUUGUUUAUUACUUUUUUACAACAACAAUGGAGGCAAGUCUUAACUGUUGGAUUUAUGAAUUAGAUGCAUAUUAUUAACAAUAGAAUAUAAGGUAAAUAUAAAGGUAAGGUAAGGUAAUAUAAAGGUUUUCCCUGACAUUAAGUCUAGUUGGGUCCGACUCUGGGGGUUGGUGCUCAUCUUCAUUUCUAAGCCAAAGAGCCAGCGUUGUCUAUAGACAACGUCCAAGGUCAUGUGGCCGGCAUGACUGCAUGGAGCGCCGUUACCUUCCCGUAUAAGUGGUACCUAUUGAUCUCCUUUCAUUUUCAUGCUUUUGAACUGCCAGCUUGACAGAAGCUGGGGCUAACAGCGGGAGCUCACCCCGCUCCCCAGAUUCAAACUGCCAACCUUUUGGUCAGCAAGUUCAGCAGCUCAGCGGUUUAAUCUGCUGUGCCACCGAGGGCUCCCCCAGUAGAAUAUAGCCAUAUGAUAUCUAAAUGGAGUAGAAUAAUAUGGGAUAAAAAUCAACAGACAGUGAGUGUGAAGUUCAUAGAAUAGUUCCUGUAGUAUGUAUAUGUUAAUUUAAGUUUGUGUUAGUUUAGUGUGUUUGCUUGUUCUAAUUUAGGUCUGUGUUAUAAUGGCUAAUUAGACAGCAACUUUGUUUUAGUGAAACAGGCAGUCCCUGGGUUACGGACAAGAUCGGUUCUGUAGAUUUGUUCUUCAAUUGAAUGUGUAUGUAAGACAGAACAGGUACAUUUUUUAAGUGUGACUCAAGCCAUUUUUUAAAAAGGUUUUGGAUAUCAUAGGGAAGAGUUAACACCCCUGUGGUGUUUGUUUUGCUGUCUGUGCCCCUGUUCAGAAAAUUUCGCCUCACAUUCUGUCCAUGUGAUAAAUGAAUUUUGAAAAUUUUGAGUUGGUGUGGAAACAAGAAUUGGUGAUAAGGCUUCAGUGGAGACACCCGUUUCCCAUGAUCUCUUACAGGAGUGAAUUUCCCUUCCUGGGCAUAAAUUUCCUCUCACUUCCUGAUGUCUCACCCCCCUUUGUAACUAGGAGUCAUAUGUAAGCCUGAUGUUUAUAACUUGGGGACUGCCUAUAUACAUAAUAUAAACAUGAUUUUUGUAUUAUUUCUGUUGUUUGUUUGUUUUUACUAUGUUUUCUUUAUUUCUGAACAAAAAUUAGAAAAAAAUUACUUGGAGUGAGUGAGAGAUGGAUUAUUUCAUCCUGAGUUUAUCAAAAUUACCAGUUCAAAUCAAGUUACCCUACACUUUGAGGCUUGAAACAGAUCUUUUGGCAAGAGCAUAUGGAUGUAGUUUUACUUUUGACAUGUUUAUGUAAGAAGUGUAUGCAUGACCCCCUUGUACAAGCAGUUCACAACAACAACAA
This is a long non-coding RNA of Anolis carolinensis (green anole), 2135 nucleotides long. RefSeq lists it as uncharacterized. The record is from RefSeq and is a predicted model, not a curated record. NCBI's taxonomy places the organism in Eukaryota, Metazoa, Chordata, Lepidosauria, Squamata, Anolidae. The transcript is spliced from 3 exons.